CUGCCUCUUGCUUCAACAGUGUUUGGGCGAACAG
Molecule: non-coding RNA, 34 nt
Organism: Myotis lucifugus (little brown bat)
Lineage: Eukaryota; Metazoa; Chordata; Mammalia; Chiroptera; Vespertilionidae
Source: Rfam